This 1183-nucleotide ribosomal RNA is filed under the name Enterobacter bugandensis. RNAcentral's name for it is "partial 23S ribosomal RNA". It matches the Rfam family "Bacterial large subunit ribosomal RNA", at positions 1762 to 2925 of the family's 2925-position model. The record is from RNAcentral. Lineage: Bacteria; Pseudomonadati; Pseudomonadota; Gammaproteobacteria; Enterobacterales; Enterobacteriaceae.
CGGAGCUGAAAUCAGUCGAAGAUACCAGCUGGCUGCAACUGUUUAUUAAAAACACAGCACUGUGCAAACACGAAAGUGGACGUAUACGGUGUGACGCCUGCCCGGUGCCGGAAGGUUAAUUGAUGGGGUUAGCGGCAACGCGAAGCUCUUGAUCGAAGCCCCGGUAAACGGCGGCCGUAACUAUAACGGUCCUAAGGUAGCGAAAUUCCUUGUCGGGUAAGUUCCGACCUGCACGAAUGGCGUAAUGAUGGCCAGGCUGUCUCCACCCGAGACUCAGUGAAAUUGAACUCGCUGUGAAGAUGCAGUGUACCCGCGGCAAGACGGAAAGACCCCGUGAACCUUUACUAUAGCUUGACACUGAACACUGGUCCUUGAUGUGUAGGAUAGGUGGGAGGCUUUGAAGCGUGGACGCCAGUCUGCGUGGAGCCGUCCUUGAAAUACCACCCUUUAAUGGCUGGUGUUCUAACGUGGACCCGUGAUCCGGGUUGCGGACAGUGUCUGGUGGGUAGUUUGACUGGGGCGGUCUCCUCCCAAAGAGUAACGGAGGAGCACGAAGGUUAGCUAAUCCUGGUCGGACAUCAGGAGGUUAGUGCAAUGGCAUAAGCUAGCUUGACUGCGAGAGUGACGGCUCGAGCAGGUGCGAAAGCAGGUCAUAGUGAUCCGGUGGUUCUGAAUGGAAGGGCCAUCGCUCAACGGAUAAAAGGUACUCCGGGGAUAACAGGCUGAUACCGCCCAAGAGUUCAUAUCGACGGCGGUGUUUGGCACCUCGAUGUCGGCUCAUCACAUCCUGGGGCUGAAGUAGGUCCCAAGGGUAUGGCUGUUCGCCAUUUAAAGUGGUACGCGAGCUGGGUUUAGAACGUCGUGAGACAGUUCGGUCCCUAUCUGCCGUGGGCGCUGGAGAAUUGAGGGGGGCUGCUCCUAGUACGAGAGGACCGGAGUGGACGCAUCACUGGUGUUCGGGUUGUCAUGCCAAUGGCACUGCCCGGUAGCUAAAUGCGGAAGAGAUAAGUGCUGAAAGCAUCUAAGCACGAAACUUGCCCCGAGAUGAGUUCUCCCUGAGACUUUAAGUCUCCUGAAGGAACGUUGAAGACGACGACGUUGAUAGGCCGGGUGUGUAAGCGCAGCGAUGCGUUGAGCUAACCGGUACUAAUGAACCGUGAGGCUUAACCUUACAACGCCGAAG